Molecule: ribosomal RNA, 326 nt
Filed under: uncultured Rhizobiaceae bacterium
Lineage: Bacteria; Pseudomonadati; Pseudomonadota; Alphaproteobacteria; Hyphomicrobiales; Rhizobiaceae
Description: bacterial SSU rRNA
Rfam family: Bacterial small subunit ribosomal RNA
Source: RNAcentral
CGUGUCGUGAGAUGUUGGGUUAAGUCCCGCAACGAGCGCAACCCUCGCCCUUAGUUGCCAGCAUUUAGUUGGGCACGUCUAAGGGGACUGCCGGUGAUAAGGCCGAGAGGAAGGCGGGGAGUGACGUCAAGUACCUCAUGGCCCUUACGGGGCCUGGGCUACACACGUGCUACAAUGGUGGUGACAGUGGGCAGCGAGCACGCGAGUGUGAGCUAAUCUCCAAAAGCCAUCUCAGUUCGGAUUGCACUCUGCAACUCGAGUGCAUGAAGUUGGAAUCGCUAGUAAUCGCGGAUCAGCAUGCCGCGGUGAAUACGUUCCCGGGCCUU